GUGGGGAAUAUUGCACAAUGGGGGAAACCCUGAUGCAGCAACGCCGCGUGAGUGAUGACGGUCUUCGGAUUGUAAAGCUCUGUCUUUGGGGACGAUAAUGACGGUACCCAAGGAGGAAGCCACGGCUAACUACGUGCCAGCAGCCGCGGUAAUACGUAGGUGGCAAGCGUUGUCCGGAUUUACUGGGCGUAAAGGGAGCGUAGGUGGAUAUUUAAGUGGGAUGUGAAAUACUCGGGCUUAACCUGAGUGCUGCAUUCCAAACUGGAAGUCUAGAGUGCAGGAGAGGAGAGUGGAAUUCCUAGUGUAGCGGUGAAAUGCGUAGAGAUUAGGAAGAACACCAGUGGCGAAGGCGACUCUCUGGACUGUAACUGACGCUGAGGCUCGAAAGCGUGGGGAGCAAACAGGAUUAGAUACCCUAGUAGUCC
This 425-nucleotide ribosomal RNA is filed under the name uncultured bacterium. RNAcentral's name for it is "partial 16S ribosomal RNA". It matches the Rfam family "Bacterial small subunit ribosomal RNA", at positions 354 to 796 of the family's 1533-position model. The record is from RNAcentral.